UGUUGCUUGCAAGGGCGUAUGGUGGAUGCCUUGGCAGACAGGACCGAUGAAGGACGUUUGAGGCUGCGAUAUGCCUCGGGGAGCCGCCAACAGGGCUUUGAUCCGAGGAUUUCCGAAUGGGGGAACCCACCGACCGUCAUGGGUCGGUACCGGCUUCGGCCGGGGGGUACGCAGGGAAGUGAAACAUCUCAGUACCUGCAGGAAAGGAUAUUCCGUGAGUAGUGGCGAGCGAAAGCGGAUGAUGGCCAAACCUUGCGCGUGUGAUACCCGUCGGGGGUUGCGCGCGGGGUGUUGCGGGAUCGCGUGCGCCGGCUCCGACGGGCCGGCCGGCAGUUGCAGAAAACCAUGUGUCAGGGGAACCGGGUUGAAUACCGGGCCGCAGAGGGUGAGGGCCCCGUACCUGAACGCGCAUGGUCUGCCGAUCGCGUCUCCCAAGUAGCACGGGUCCCGUGGAACCCCGUGCGAAUCCGCCCAGACCGUUGGGUAAGCCUGAAUAUUCCUGUCUGACCGAUAGCGAACGAGUACCGUGAGGGAAAGGUGAAAAGUACCCCGGGAGGGGAGUGAAACAGUCUCUGAAACCGUGCGCCUACAAUCCGUCGGAGCCCUUUUGUGGGGUGACGGCGUGCCUAUCGAAAAAUGAGUCUGCGAGUCAGUGGCAUGUGGCGAGCAUAACCCGUGUGGGGUAUGCGUAGCGAAGGCGAGUCUUAAAAGGCGUUUGAGUCGCGUGUCCUGGACCCGAAGCGGGAUGAUCUAGCCCUGAGCAGGUUGAAGCGCGGGUAAGACCGCGUGGAGGACCGAACCCACCUGGGUUGAAAACCGGGGGGAUGACUUGGGGCUAGGGGUGAAAGGCCAAUCAAAUUCCGUGAUAGCUGGUUCUCUCCGAAAUGCAUUUGGGUGCAGCGUCGGGUCAUUACGUCCCGGGGGUAGAGCUACUGGAUGCUUGCGGGCCCGUAUCGGGUACCAACAGCAACCAAACUCCGAAUACCGGUGACGCGUAUCCCGGCAGUGAGUCGGCGGGGGAUAAGCUUCGUCGUCGAAAGGGAAACAGCCCAGACCGUCGUCUAAGGUCCCGAAGCGUGUGCUAAGUGGGAAAGGAUGUGGAGUCGCAUAGACAGCCAGGAGGUUGGCUCAGAAGCAGCCACCCUUGAAAGAGUGCGUAACAGCUCACUGGUCUAGUGGUUCCGCGCCGACAAUGUAGCGGGGCUCAAGCACACCACCGAAGACGCGGCAGUAUUUUGUACUGGGUAGGAGAGCGUCCCAUGAGGGGCGAAGCGGCCGUGUGAACGCGCCGUGGACUUCAUGGGAGUGAGAAUGCAGACAUGAGUAGCGAGAGACGGGUGAAGAUCCCGUCCGCUGGAUGACCAAGGGUUCCAGGGCCACGUUCAUCGUCCCUGGGUGAGUCGGGUCCUAAGGCGAGGCCGACAGGCGUAGUCGAAUGGAUGAACGGGUCGAUAUUCCCGUACCGGCUUUCAGCCGCCAAAACCGAGGCUUGGAGUACUAACCUCCGGGUCCGGGCUUACUGCUCCUUCGGGGGCGGGAUGCCCUGGCCUGUUGGGACCGAUCCUUGUAGUAGGUCAGCGCAGGAGUGACGCAGAAGGGUAGCCGGCCGCGGAGGUGGUCUUCCGUGGUCAAGCACGCAGGGCGUGGGACAGGCAAAUCCGUCCCGCAUGGGUCCGAGGUGCGAUGAUGGGGGCCUUAUGGCCCGAUAUCCGGUGAUCCCGGCUGCCGAGAAAAGCUUCGGCGUCAGGCUCAAAGCCGCCCGUACCCCAAACCGACACUGGUGGUCAGGUAGAGAAUACCAAAGCGAUCGAGCGAAUCCUGGUCAAGGAACUCGGCAAAUCACUCCCGUUCCUUCGGUUUAAGGGAGACCCCCGAUGGUGAACACACUUGCUGUGGGAGCUUUUGGGGGUGGCACAGACCAGGGGGUAGCGACUGUUUACCAAAAACACAGGUGCAUGCGAAGGCGCAAGCCGCUGUAUAUGCACUGACGCCUGCCCGGUGCCGGAAGGUUAAGAGGAUCCGUCAGCCUUCGGGUGAAGCGGUGAAUUCAAGCCCCGGUAAACGGCGGUGGUAACUAUAACCAUCCUAAGGUAGCGAAAUUCCUUGUCGGGUAAGUUCC
This 2119-nucleotide ribosomal RNA is filed under the name gut metagenome. RNAcentral describes it as "bacterial LSU rRNA". It matches the Rfam family "Bacterial large subunit ribosomal RNA", at positions 1 to 1984 of the family's 2925-position model. The record is from RNAcentral.